Molecule: ribosomal RNA, 496 nt
Filed under: uncultured bacterium
Lineage: Bacteria
Description: partial 16S ribosomal RNA
Rfam family: Bacterial small subunit ribosomal RNA
Source: RNAcentral
GAUGAACGCUGGCGGCGUGCCUAAUACAUGCAAGUCGAGCGAACAGACGAGGAGCUUGCUCCUCUGACGUUAGCGGCGGCGGGGUAGUAACACGUGGUUAACCUACCUAUAAGGCUGGGCUAACUUCGGGAAACCGUAGUAAAUACCGGGUAAUGUAUUAGACCGCAUGGUUUAUUAGUGAAAGACGCUUUUGGAUGCACCUAUAUAUGAAUCGGCGGCGCAUUAGCUAGUUGGUAAGGUAACGGCUUACCAAGGCCACGAUGCGUAGCCGACCUGAGAGGGUGAUCGGCCACACUGGAACUGAGACACGGUCCAGACUCCUACGGGAGGCAGCAGUAGGGAAUCUUCCGCAAUGGGCGAAAGCCUGACGGAGCAACGCCGCGUGAGUGAUCAAGGUCUUCGGAUCGUAAAACUCUGUUAUUAGGGAAGAACAAAUGUGUAAGUAACUAUGCACGUCUUGACGGUACCUAAUCAGAAAGCCACGGCUAACUACGUG